AGCGGACGUUAGCGGCACGCUUAACACAUGCAAGUCGCACGAGAGUGGAGCAAUCCAUGAAAGUGGCGCACGGGUGCGUAACACGUAGAUAAUCUGCCCUAAAGAGGGGGAUAACGUUCCGAAAGGAGCGCUAAUACCGCAUACAGCAGUUGGUGGUUCGCCAUCGAUUGGCAAAGGCUGGGAUCGCAAGACCAGUCGCUUUAGGAGGAGUCUGCGGCCCAUCAGCUAGUUGGUAAGGUAACGGCUUACCAAGGCAAAGACGGGUAGCUGGUCUGAGAGGAUGAUCAGCCACACUGGUACUGGAACACGGACCAGACUCCUACGGGAGGCAGCAGUGGGGAAUCUUGGUCAAUGGGCGAAAGCCUGAACCAGCGAUGCCGCGUGAGUGAUGAAGGCCUUCGGGUUGUAAAGCUCUGUGGGGCGAGACGAAAGCCUACGUUCUAACAGGACGUAGUUUGACGGUAUCGCCUUAGCAAGCACCGGCUAACUCUGUGCCAGCAGCCGCGGUAAGACAGAGGGUGCAAACGUUGCUCGGAAUCACUGGGCGUAAAGGGCGCGUAGGCGGACAAGUAAGUCGGGCGUGAAAUCCCUAGGCUCAACCUAGGAACUGCACUCGAAACUGCAUGUCUUGAGUACCGGAGAGGAAAGCGGAAUACCUGGUGUAGAGGUGAAAUUCGUAGAUAUCAGGUGGAACACCAGUGGCGAAGGCGGCUUUCUGGACGGUAACUGACGCUGAGCGCGAAAGCGUGGGGAGCAAACAGGAUUAGAUACCCUGGUAGUCCACGCUGUAAACGAUGAGCGCUAGGUGUCGUGGGUAUUGACCCCCGCGGUGCCGAAGCUAACGCAUUAAGCGCUCCGCCUGGGAAGUACGGUCGCAAGACUAAAACUCAAGGAAUUGACGGGG
This 904-nucleotide ribosomal RNA is filed under the name uncultured bacterium. RNAcentral describes it as "bacterial SSU rRNA". It matches the Rfam family "Bacterial small subunit ribosomal RNA", at positions 28 to 918 of the family's 1533-position model. The record is from RNAcentral.